UCAUUCAUCAGCUCAGUCGGUAGAGCAUGAGACUCUUAAUCUUAGGGUCGUGGGUUCGAGCCCCACGUUGGGUGUA
This is a non-coding RNA of Mugil cephalus (flathead mullet), 76 nucleotides long. Lineage: Eukaryota; Metazoa; Chordata; Actinopteri; Mugiliformes; Mugilidae. The record is from the annotation of a RefSeq genome assembly.